Molecule: long non-coding RNA, 567 nt
Filed under: Numida meleagris (helmeted guineafowl)
Lineage: Eukaryota; Metazoa; Chordata; Aves; Galliformes; Numididae
Description: lncRNA (ENSNMEG00000001135.1)
Source: RNAcentral
CCAAAAUAUGGGGGGUGGUUGGAGGACCUGGAGGAGCUGAGCGCACAAUGCGGCCUCAAUGUGUGGAGCUGGCACCAACAGGUGGGGGGGGGACCCCAAAUUUGGGGGUCCCCAUUCUUGGGGUCCGCAUUUUGGGGUCUCCAUUUUGGGGGUCCCCGUUUUAGGGUCUCAUUUUGGGGGUCCUCUUUUUGGGGUCCUCAUUUAGGGGUCCCCAUUUUGGGGUCUCCAUUUUGGGGUCCCCUUUAGGGGUUCCCCAUUUUGGGGUCCCCAUUUUGGGGUUCCCAUUUUGGGCUCUCCAUUUAGGGGUCCCCAUUUUGGGGGUCCCCAUUUUAGGCUCUGAUUUUGGGAUCCCCUUUAGGGGUUCCACAUUUGGGGUCCCCAAUUUGGGGUCCCCAUUUUGGGCUCUCCAUUUUGGGGUCCCCUUUAGGGGUUCCCCAUUUUGGGGUCCCCAUUUUGGGGUCCCCAUUUUGGGGUCCCCAUUUUGGGCUCUCCAUUUAGGGGUCCCCAUUUUGGGGGUCUCAUUUUGGGGGUCUCAUUUUGGGGGUCACCUUUAGGGGUUCCACAUUU